This 16-nucleotide small RNA is filed under the name Arabidopsis thaliana (thale cress). RNAcentral describes it as "ATSL182980". Lineage: Eukaryota; Viridiplantae; Streptophyta; Magnoliopsida; Brassicales; Brassicaceae. The record is from RNAcentral.
GUUUGGUCUUUGUUUC